GAUGAACGCUGGCGGCGUGCCUAAUACAUGCAAGUCGAGCGAACGGACGAGAAGCUUGCUUCUCUGAUGUUAGCGGCGGACGGGUGAGUAACACGUGGAUAACCUACCUAUAAGACUGGGAUAACUUCGGGAAACCGUAGCUAAUACCGGAUAAUAUUUUGAACCGCAUGGUUCAAAAGUGAAAGACGGUCUUGCUGUCACUUAUAGAUGGAUCCGCGCUGCAUUAGCUAGUUGGUAAGGUAACGGCUUACCAAGGCAACGAUGCAUAGCCGACCUGAGAGGGUGAUCGGCCACACUGGAGCUUAGACACGGUCCAGACUCCUACGGGAGGCAGCAGUAGGGAAUCUUCCGCAAUGGGCGAAAGCCUGACGGAGCAACGCCGCGUGAGUGAUGAAGGUCUUCGGAUCGUAAAACUCUGUUAUUAGGGAAGAACAUAUGUGUAAGUAACUGUGCACAUCUUGACGGUACCUAAUCAGAAAGCCACGGCUAACUACGUG
Molecule: ribosomal RNA, 497 nt
Filed under: uncultured bacterium
Lineage: Bacteria
Description: partial 16S ribosomal RNA
Rfam family: Bacterial small subunit ribosomal RNA
Source: RNAcentral